GCUGCUGUAGCUCAACUGGAUAGAGCGAUGGUCUACGAAGCCAAAGGUUGCAGGUUCAAGCCCUGCCAGCAGCGCCA
RNAcentral lists this transfer RNA (77 nucleotides) under Pseudomonas amygdali pv. lachrymans str. M301315. RNAcentral's name for it is "tRNA-Arg". It matches the Rfam family "tRNA". From Rfam's summary of the family: Transfer RNA (tRNA) molecules are approximately 80 nucleotides in length. Their secondary structure includes four short double-helical elements and three loops (D, anti-codon, and T loops). Lineage: Bacteria; Pseudomonadati; Pseudomonadota; Gammaproteobacteria; Pseudomonadales; Pseudomonadaceae. The record is from RNAcentral.